RNAcentral lists this ribosomal RNA (452 nucleotides) under uncultured Pseudomonadota bacterium. RNAcentral describes it as "bacterial SSU rRNA". It matches the Rfam family "Bacterial small subunit ribosomal RNA", at positions 451 to 896 of the family's 1533-position model. Lineage: Bacteria; Pseudomonadati; Pseudomonadota. The record is from RNAcentral.
GCACAUUGCUAAUACCAGUGUGUCUUGACCUAACCCAAGAAAAAAGCACCGGCUAACUCUGUGCCAGCAGCCGCGGUAAUACAGAGGGUGCGAGCGUUAAUCGGAAUUACUGGGCGUAAAGCGUGCGUAGACGGUUAUUAAGUCGGGUGUGAAAGCCCCGGACUCAACCUGGGAAUUGCAUUCGAGACUGAAUAGCUAGGGUACGGUAGAGGGAAGUGGAAUUUCCGGUGUUAGCGGUGAAAUGCGUAGAUAUCGGAAGGAACAUCAGUGGCGAAAGCGACUUCCUGGACCAGUACCGACGUUCAGGCACGAAAGCGUGGGGAGCAAACAGGAUUAGAUACCCUGGUAGUCCACGCCAUAAACGAUGAGGACUAGACGUUGGAGGGGUAAGCCUUUCAGUGUCGUAGCUAACGCGCUAAGUCCUCCGCCUGGGGAGUACGGCCGCAAGGUUG